Molecule: unclassified non-coding RNA, 241 nt
Filed under: Hevea brasiliensis (rubber tree)
Lineage: Eukaryota; Viridiplantae; Streptophyta; Magnoliopsida; Malpighiales; Euphorbiaceae
Source: RNAcentral
AGGAUGACGAGGACGACUUACUAUGGGAAGCCAUUUCCAAGUUACCGUCUCAGAAGCGAGGGAAUUUCGCAUUGUUGCGGCGAUCUUCAUCGGGCCAAGGAGGAGAAGGUAGUAGUCGAACGGAGACGAUUGACGUCACGAAGCUAGAUCGAGCCAACAGAGAGCUUGUUGUUAAAAAAGCUUUGGCCACCAAUGCCCAGGACAAUCAGAAGCUCCUUUCUGGCAUCAAAGAGCGUCUUGA